UCUGUACGGGAAGGAUGAGAAGCUUCGACUAAGGUUCGAUUCGAGCGAAAGCGAGAAAGCGUUGCCGCAGGCAACGACCCGAAGGGCGAAGCGCGCAGCGCUGAGUAAUCCUUCCCCCACCACCA
Molecule: small RNA, 125 nt
Filed under: Salmonella enterica
Lineage: Bacteria; Pseudomonadati; Pseudomonadota; Gammaproteobacteria; Enterobacterales; Enterobacteriaceae
Also listed under: 1 other name
Description: partial RtT sRNA
Rfam family: RtT RNA
About the family: This family represents a bacterial cis-regulatory element known as RtT RNA. The exact function of RtT is unknown although it is thought that it may be involved in changing the cellular response in relation to amino acid starvation.
Source: RNAcentral